GAUGAACGCUGACAGAAUGCUUAACACAUGCAAGUCAACUUGAACUUCGGUUUGGGUGGCGGACGGGUGAGUAACGCGUAAAGAACUUGCCUCACAGAUAGGGACAACAUUUGGAAACGAAUGCUAAUACCUGAUAUUAUGAUUAUAUGGCAUCGUAUAAUUAUGAAAGCUAUAUGCGCUGUGAGAGAGCUUUGCGUCCCAUUAGCUAGUUGGAGAGGUAACGGCUCACCAAGGCGAUGAUGGGUAGCCGGCCUGAGAGGGUGAUCGGCCACAAGGGGACUGAGACACGGCCCUUACUCCUACGGGAGGCAGCAGUGGGGAAUAUAGGACAAUGGACCAAGAGUCUGAUCCAGCAAUUCUGUGUGCACGAUGAAGUUUUUCGGAAUGUAAAGUGCUUUCAGUUGGGAAGAAAAAAAUGACGGUACCAACAGAAGAAGUGACGGCUAAAUACGUG
This 454-nucleotide ribosomal RNA is filed under the name uncultured bacterium. RNAcentral describes it as "partial 16S ribosomal RNA". It matches the Rfam family "Bacterial small subunit ribosomal RNA", at positions 28 to 507 of the family's 1533-position model. The record is from RNAcentral.